GUAGGUGAACCUGCGGAGGGAUCAUUACAAGUGACCCCGGUCUAACCACCGGGAUGUUCAUAACCCUUUGUUGUCCGACUCUGUUGCCUCCGGGGCGACCCUGCCUUCGGGCGGGGGCUCCGGGUGGACACUUCAAACUCUUGCGUAACUUUGCAGUCUGAGUAAACUUAAUUAAUAAAUUAAAACUUUUAACAACGGAUCUCUUGGUUCUG
This 212-nucleotide unclassified non-coding RNA is filed under the name rhizosphere metagenome. RNAcentral describes it as "partial ribosomal RNA internal transcribed spacer region". The record is from RNAcentral.